UGAGGAAUAUUGGUCAAUGGGCGAUAGCCUGAACCAGCCAAGUCGCGUGAGGGAAGACGGUCCUAUGGAUUGUAAACCUCUUUUGCCGGGGAGCAAGGCGGUCCACGAGUGGGCGGUCGGAGAGUACCCGGAGAAAAAGCAUCGGCUAACUCCGUGCCAGCAGCCGCGGUAAUACGGAGGAUGCGAGCGUUAUCCGGAUUUAUUGGGUUUAAAGGGUGCGUAGGCGGGAUGUCAAGUCAGCGGUAAAAUCGAGGGGCUCAACCCCUUUCCGCCGUUGAAACUGGCGUUCUUGAGUGGAUGAGAAGUAUGCGGAAUGCGUGGUGUAGCGGUGAAAUGCAUAGAUAUCACGCAGAACUCCGAUUGCGAAGGCAGCAUGCCGGCAUCCGACUGACGCUGAUGCACGAAAGCGUGGGGAUCAAACAGG
RNAcentral lists this ribosomal RNA (424 nucleotides) under uncultured bacterium. RNAcentral's name for it is "bacterial SSU rRNA". It matches the Rfam family "Bacterial small subunit ribosomal RNA", at positions 355 to 776 of the family's 1533-position model. The record is from RNAcentral.